AUUGAACGCUGGCGGCAGGCCUAACACAUGCAAGUCGAGCGGAAGAAGGGAGCUUGCUCCUGGAUUCAGCGGCGGACGGGUGAGUAAUGCCUAAGAAUCUGCCUGGUUGUGGGGGAUAACGUCCGGAAACGGGCGCUACUACCGCAUACGUCCUGAGUGUGAAAGUGGGGGCUCUUCGGACCUCACUCUAUCAGAUUAGCCUAGGUCGGAUUAGCUAGUUGGUGGGGUAAAGACCUACCAAGGCGACGAUCCGUAACUGGUCUGAGAGGAUGAUCAGUCACACUAGAACUGAGACACGGUCCAGACUCCUACGCGAGGCAGCGGUGGGGAAUAUUGGACAAUGGGCGAAAGCCUUGUCCAGCCAUGCCGCGUGUGUGAAGAAGGUCUUCGGAUUGUAAAGCACUUUAAGUUGGGAGGAAAGGCAGUAAGUUAAGACCUUGCUGUUUUGACGUUACCAACAGAAUAAGCACCGGCUAACUUCGUG
RNAcentral lists this ribosomal RNA (484 nucleotides) under uncultured bacterium. RNAcentral describes it as "partial 16S ribosomal RNA". It matches the Rfam family "Bacterial small subunit ribosomal RNA", at positions 30 to 507 of the family's 1533-position model. The record is from RNAcentral.